CUUCCGGAAGUCAGGGCCGCGGCGCUUCUGGUCCCGGAGACUUGGGGCUCCCGGGCUUCUGAGCGGCUCGGGUUCCGCGCUGCCGGCAGGGCUUGGGGGCGCCUUAGAGCCGAACCCCGUUUUUUCAGGAAAGGGCGCUGCGACCACCCCCGUCCCGGGCCUCAGCCCCUCUGCUGCAGACCCUCGGGAUCGUCGCUGGAAAGAUUCUGAAGCUUGGCGGAGAGGGGUGUGUGAGUGGACACCAGUGAAGUAACGGUUUUUGUGUUACGAUGAUUUCUGUUUUCCUCUGCUGCCCUGUAAUGGCAGGAACUCGGAUAGUCUGGUCUUCAGACCAGGAGGACUCCCAGGAGAGAACGGAGAGCCAGUGUGCUGUGUGUCACGGUCCCUGGAUGAACGUUUGUGGAACUGGAUUGAAUUAAACAAGACGUGCAAAGCAAGUGGUUCACGAGAUUCGAUUGCUGUAGGGACCCCGUGGGUGUGGAAUCAGACAGUAUUGGUCCUUUCAUGACUGGCUUAUUUCACAAAACCCGAUGCCGUCGAGGUCCAUCCAUGCUGAGAUAUUUACGGAGCAUCCCCAGCUGCUGGAUGCUGGGACCCACCAGUGGGCAAGAGGGCCGUGCCCACCCCUUCCUGGAAGAGACACUCACUCAGUAAAUGCAGAGAUUCAGUGUUGGGGUAACCCCAGCACACAGCCCUGAGGGAGGAAGCCCAGUGAUUUGAUCGGAUUUGCUUUUCUCUUCUGCCUCGGAUUCUGUCCAACCCCUGGAAGGACCUCUGAGGUGUCCCGUGGCUGGUUCUAGGCCCCAUUCAAGCCUCCUCCUCCAGGAAGCCUUCCCAGUCCUGGGCAUCUGUAGCCAGCUCGGUGUUUCUCACCUGGGGCCUGGGACGUCUCCCAUUCUGAACUGCCGUGUUUUGGGUUUACUGUUCUCUGGCUUUUGGUCCCAGCCGGACGGUGGCCUCUUGUGUUCAGGGACAAGGCAAGGAGCAUCCAUGCACCCCCACAGUACCCAGGCUGGGUCUGUGCCCGCCAGGCCCCCGGCAAAGCUUGGAUGAUCCGGGCUGGGCUGUUCUCCUGCUGCUCUCCUGCUGCUGGCCUCGCUGUAUCAGCUGAUGGCCAUCGCGCCUCCUGCACCCGUCAUCCCGCCCUGCACGCCCCCGCCACGUGGAUGAGCUCCCUGGGGAGUUAAUGGCUAAUGGAGUCUCCGCUCUCUCUUGUCAAAUGCAGCCAUCAUCCGCUGGUGCUUUAAGGGACUCUCUCCCGUCCCCACCCUAUUCUCAGGUGGCUCCUACCGACACCACCUAAUGGUGAACCCCAACACGAGGACACAGGCAGUGCCCUCUCAGGACCACUGUGGGUGCCACCAGGCACGACUUCCUAAACACCCACAGAGCAAAAACCUGGAAAUUCAGCCGAGGCACUGGGACCCCAACCUCUCCCAGAGUGGCCCCAGCUCCACGGCGUCUGCAUGGCUCUGGCCGUGAGCAGAGCAGCCCCGACCUCCGUCCUGACCCAGGGCGCCGGAGCGCCACUGCGGAUCUCACCACCACACAAGCCAGACCUGCUAGGAAGCCCUUCCCGGCCACCAGCUCUCGGGCGAUGCACACAACAGGGCCUUUUGAAUUCCCUGAGGUUAAGGUUCCCCUUGAGUCUCCUGGGCUACAAGCAAAUCCCCCGAGGGGAGAAGUCCAGGCUGACACAGCCUCCUGCACCCCUGCCUUGGGAGGCCACACCUCGUUUGCCUCUAGAACCGACGACUGGGGAGCACUGUUUGCAGAGUUCUCUCUCUCUGGGUAAGUUCCGGAGCCACAUCUCACUGGAUCCACCACGGCCUGGGUGGACGGCUCUCGUGUGUUUAUAGCUGGGUCCCUCGCUUGGGAGCUGCCUCCGGGUGGGCGGCCUCUCCAGCCUGUUUGAGUGCUCCACCCGGAGCAGGAAGAGGGCCGUGUGCUCUGGGCAGUGGUUCCUUGGGCACUGCAUGGUCCUUGCUUCCCUCCAGGGCCCACCUUCCCUGGCCGCUGCAUCCCAGCCGAGGGCAGGCCCCUUUUGCCAGCUGAAGGCAGAAAGGCCGGCAGCCCUGGGGUGGCGGCGGGCAGAGAAACCCCCCGGAGUGGUCUCCGUUCUUCUAAAAGUGAUGUUGACCCCCGUGUCGCAGGCAGCUGGCAGGGUGGCAGUUCGAUCUGUCGUUACGGGCUUGCACCACUGCGGUCUCCCACCCAGGGAGCAGCUCUGUCCAACCACAGCGAGCCUCCAGCUCCUACCCUCUGCCUGGGCUGGGGCAGAGCCUGGGGUCUGGGUGGGAGAAGCGUGACUCUGGGAUGAGACCUUACAAAGCAGGUUCCUCCUGGGAGUCAGCCCGGGUCUAAACGCAGCUGGGCAUGAAGGGGUGCCAUCGGAUGUCGAGUUAGGAGGACGAGAGACCUCCAGCCCCGGCACCCGCAUGUCUCUUUGGAAACCAGCUUUGGCUGCGCCCCUGGGGACACUGUCUGCCGUGGCCUCCCGCUCUCCUCCCCGGCACAGGCAGGGGGUCUCCCUCCUCCACCGCCACUCCCUUGGCCUCGCCCUCCCCGCCAGGCACCUGGCUUUUCCCCACCGACCCCCCCGGGGGACUGCGGCCCCCAGAAAGGCUGCACUCUGGGAGCAAAGUGGCCUGAAACCAGAGAAAAGAACGCCGGGGGAUUUGGCUUAAACUCGUUAAACCCAAUGAACCCUCUUGCCGAA
This 2719-nucleotide long non-coding RNA is filed under the name Homo sapiens (human). RNAcentral describes it as "non-protein coding PSMG3-AS1:23". The record is from RNAcentral. Lineage: Eukaryota; Metazoa; Chordata; Mammalia; Primates; Hominidae.